CAGCCGCCGCGGUAAUACGAAGGGGGCUAGCGUUGUUCGGAUUUACUGGGCGUAAAGGGUGCGUAGGCGGACUGAUAAGUCAGGGGUGAAAUCCCAAGGCUCAACCUUGGAACUGCCUUUGAAACUAGAUGACUAGAAUCUUGGAGAGGUCAGUGGAAUUCCGAGUGUAGAGGUGAAAUUCGUAGAUAUUCGGAAGAACACCAGUGGCGAAGGCGACUGACUGGACAAGUAUUGACGCUGAGGUGCGAAAGCGUGGGGAGCAAACAGGAUUAGAUACCCCCGUAGUCCCUGUCUCUUAUAC
This 301-nucleotide ribosomal RNA is filed under the name uncultured bacterium. Its description in RNAcentral is "partial 16S ribosomal RNA". It matches the Rfam family "Bacterial small subunit ribosomal RNA", at positions 509 to 807 of the family's 1533-position model. The record is from RNAcentral.